GAUGAAGAACGCAGCGAAAUGCGAUAAGUAAUGUGAAUUGCAGAAUUCAGUGAAUCAUCGAAUCUUUGAAAGCACAUUGCGCCCCCUGGUAUUCCGGGGGGCAUGCCUGUCCGAGCGUCAUUACAACCCUCAAGCUCAGCUUGGUGUUGGGCCCCGCCGCCCCGGCGGGCCCUAAAGUCAGUGGCGGUGCCGUCCGGCUCCGAGCGUAGUAAUUCUUCUCGCUCUGGAGGUCCGGUCGUGUGCUCGCCAGCAACCCCCAAUUUUUUUCAGGUUGACCUCGGAUCAGGUAGGGAUACCCGCUGAACUUAAGCAUAUCAAUAAGCGGAGGA
RNAcentral lists this unclassified non-coding RNA (329 nucleotides) under soil metagenome. RNAcentral describes it as "partial contains 5.8S ribosomal RNA, internal transcribed spacer 2, and large subunit ribosomal RNA". The stretch from base 1 to 120 matches the Rfam family "5.8S ribosomal RNA", at positions 35 to 154 of the family's 154-position model. The record is from RNAcentral.